GGCUAUUCCAGAAAGAGCUGUCUUUAACGGAGAGGACAUUUUUUCCAAAUGUGGUCCGUUUACUUGGAAUUUGACUAUUAACACAUGUAAAAGGAUGACUCGGAAACAGCUGGUCUCUUACUCCUUCUCUCCACCAUGGACGCCACAGAGCCCCUCCCCUCCAGAACAGACUGGACCAUUGCGACGGGGAGGACAGGAGGUUCAGAGGAGCAGACUUCACAGGAGGAGCUCAAUGCUAUGGCCUCUCCUGCGCCUACACUGCCUCCUUUUCCUGCUCCUCUCACUCCUGGACUCACAGGCUCCUCUUUGAUAAGCAUCAUGCACUUCUCCCUGUUGGAUGAAGAUGGAGAAAUGUUGUUAAAGAAGGGCUCAUGCAUGGACUCCAUUGGGUGAUUAUGGCUGAACUUGGAGGCAGGAGGGCUGGGAGAGCCAUCGUCCAACAUCAAGGGCCUGAAGGGAACAAUAGUUUUCUCUCAAUUACAACUUUGUUUUUAAAGGAUAUAAGUCAUUAUCAUGAAAGUAAUAAUGCAUUUAAGCAGUUUUGAGUGGGCAUUGGUUUAGAUUGAUAAUUUUUGGUUAACAUGUUGGAUUUAGUUAAGUGUGUAUCUCUACUUCCUCUAAAUAAAACAAUAAACAAGUUACCAUGAAUUUGUAUAAGUUGGUAUUUAACAGCAUUGCUUAAUUAGGAAAUAUUAGCUCGCUAGCCCGCCCAACAAAGAAUGUACAUGGUAAACAUUGAAUCUGCUAAACAUCAAUAUGUUGACACUGAUAUUCUGAAUAGACAAGUGUCCUAACAGAAGUUUGUUAUGCUACCUUUUUGCUUUUUAAAUAUUCCAUGUGGAGAUGUGACAGUAAAUGACAGGGGUUGGAGUGAUGGAUGAGUGAGUUAUUAGUGUGGGUAGAUGUUAAAAGGUAAGGCCGAAAAUAACUAUCAUUAAAACAUAGGGUAAAAUUGCACCUUUGCCAGGUCGCACAAUGACUCUGAAAUAUAC
Long non-coding RNA from Gymnodraco acuticeps, 992 nucleotides. RefSeq lists it as uncharacterized. The record is from RefSeq and is a predicted model, not a curated record. The transcript has 3 exons. NCBI's taxonomy places the organism in Eukaryota, Metazoa, Chordata, Actinopteri, Perciformes, Bathydraconidae.